RNAcentral lists this ribosomal RNA (475 nucleotides) under Centruroides pococki. RNAcentral's name for it is "partial 16S ribosomal RNA". It matches the Rfam family "Archaeal large subunit ribosomal RNA", at positions 1908 to 2669 of the family's 2987-position model. The record is from RNAcentral. Lineage: Eukaryota; Metazoa; Arthropoda; Arachnida; Scorpiones; Buthidae.
AUUUUUUUGAGUUAAUUAAAAAUGAGUCCUGCUCACUGUGAAAUAAAUAGCCGCGGUAUCUUGACUGUGCAAAGGUAGCAUAAUAAUUAGUCUUAUAAUUUAAGACUGGAAUGAAAGGAUGAACUAGAAAACCUCUUUUUUAAUUAUUGAUUCCAAACUUUACUUUUUAGUGAGAAGGCUAAAAUAGUUCUUUUAGACAAGAAGACCCUAUAAAACUUUACAUAAAAUAAUUUAAUAUAUUAAUAAUAUGUUUUGCUGGGGCGGUAAGAGAAAAAACAUCUCUAAAUUUAUGAAAAUAUCAUUAUUUUAAUACCCAAAAUUUUUGAAAUUUAGAUAAGUUACUUUAGGGAUAACAGCGUUAUAUACUUUGAGAGCUCAAAUUGACAAGUAUGUUUGCGACCUCGAUGUUGGAUUAAAUUUUCUUUAUUGCGCAAGAGCAAUAAUAGGAGGUCUGUUCGACCUGUAAUGAUUUCCA